GCGAGACUGAGUCUCUCAAAAAAAAAAAAAAGAAAAAGGAUUAACGUGUUUCUGACUGCAUGUGGAAUAUACCUGUUUCUCCUUUGUCUUCCACGAUGAUUAUAGGUUUCCUGAGGCCUCUGCAGCCAUGCUUCCUGGACAGCCUGCAGAACUGUGAGUCAAUUAAACCUCUUUUUUUUUUUCAGAUGGAGUCUCACUCUGUUGCCCAGCCUGGAUUGCAGUGGUGCAAUCCAUCAGCUCACUGCAACCUCUGCCUCCUGGGUUCAAGUGAUUCUUCUGCCUCAGUCUCCCCAGCAGCUGGGAUUACAGGCAUCCACCACCAUGCCAGGCU
RNAcentral lists this long non-coding RNA (331 nucleotides) under Homo sapiens (human). Its description in RNAcentral is "HSALNT0114725". The record is from RNAcentral. Lineage: Eukaryota; Metazoa; Chordata; Mammalia; Primates; Hominidae.